GAUGAAGAACGUAGCGAAAUGCGAUAAGUAAUGUGAAUUGCAGAAUUCAGUGAAUCAUCGAAUCAUUGAACGCACAUUGCGCCCCUUGGUAUUCCGAGGGGCAUGCCUGUUCGAGCGUCAUUACACCACUCAAGCUAUGCUUGGUAUUGGGCGUCGUCCUUAGUUGGGCGCGCCUUAAAGACCUCGGCGAGGCCACUCCGGCUUUAGGCGUAGUAGAAUUUAUUCGAACGUCUGUCAAAGGAGAGGAACUCUGCCGACUGAAACCUUUAUUUUUCUAGGUUGACCUCGGAUCAGGUAGGGAUACCCGCUGAACUUAAGCAUAUCAAUAAGCGGAGGA
RNAcentral lists this unclassified non-coding RNA (337 nucleotides) under soil metagenome. RNAcentral describes it as "partial contains 5.8S ribosomal RNA, internal transcribed spacer 2, and large subunit ribosomal RNA". The stretch from base 1 to 120 matches the Rfam family "5.8S ribosomal RNA", at positions 35 to 154 of the family's 154-position model. The record is from RNAcentral.